Molecule: non-coding RNA, 1310 nt
Organism: Schizosaccharomyces pombe (fission yeast)
Lineage: Eukaryota; Fungi; Ascomycota; Schizosaccharomycetes; Schizosaccharomycetales; Schizosaccharomycetaceae
Source: the annotation of a GenBank genome assembly
UAUGAAAGAAGCAUUACGUCUUGUUAGCUUUAAGCUGCAUUAGCGAUAGCUUAAAACAUAUAAGGUUAUUUUGUCUGGCUAAUAUUUCUUCUUGCUUCAUAAAAUUGGAAUUACACAACUCUUAAAAGUCAUUGUAGUCUCUCACACUUAAUAAUUUACUUGGGAUUUUUUGCCGUUUGUGAAGUAGUGCAAAACCUUUCUAAAAAUUUUUUUACAGCUGCAACAGCCAAUACUGGUGCUGACAAUCAUAGCACAAAACGCUUUGCGCGUAGAAAUAAAUAGAGAAGUUUUUAACCUUUAGAAACUUCCUUGAUUCUAUUGAAGUUGACUUUCUCUUCAUUCUUGUGCUACUUACUUAUGCGGUGAAAGCGUUAGAUUAUGCUGUUUUCUUUUAUAACUUGGUAAACCAUUGAUAUUAAGUAUGAGAUUAUUCAGGAACAAGCGCAUAUUGUAAACAAAAAAAGACUAUAAAAAAGGUAGCAUACCAAUGAAGCUUUGCUCAUUUUAUCAAGAAAAAUUAGUAUGUGUACUGUAAAGGAACUCUCCUAGUGAGUUUUGUUACAAGCUCAUAAGGGCUAGUAUCACUACAAUAUUUAGCAAUGUCUGCCACUGUCAAUUCUGGAGUUCCCCAAAAUAUUACUUCAUCCCCUGGCUUGACAUCAGGAAUGUCUGAAAGAUCAACAGUAAGCAUGUCCAUGGAAACCCUACCAACAAUUGGAGCCUUCACGCCAUUCACUAAAACUGGACAUCCAUCUUUAACUUGACGGGGAAAUCCGUCUCCGUAACCCAUUGCUACAACACCUAGUUUCAUAUCUCUAGUAGCAACAUAUCUCCCUCCAUAACCAAUGGGCUGGCCCUUGUCAACAUGUUUCACACUUAUUAUGGUAGAUACCAGUUUCAUGGCAGGCUUUAUAUUAACAGACUCUGGAGUUUUUGAGUCUUUAUUUUUAGAAAGAAAUGGAGAAAUACCAUAUAACAUGAUACCAGCACGCAACCAGUCUGUGCACACAGUGUUUAGCCAGCCCAAAAUAAUCGCAGAUCCGCCAGCACUAAGUGGACCUGGUAAAUGCGCAACAGACUUUUCAAAUAUAUCCCAUUGCUUCAAAGUGUGUUCCGGAUUUUCUAGCAUAUCUGCAAAUGCAAAAUGAGUGAUUUUUCCGAUAUUACUAACGUUUUUGUUAUUGCUUAGUAAAUUAUAGAACUUCAUAAACUGACUAGGUGUAAAACCUAGACGGUUCAUUCCAGAGUCAAGUUUCAACCAAAUCUCUACUGGUCUGUUGAAAGGGUAUUUAAUAAAACUAUUCACCUGG